This 369-nucleotide long non-coding RNA is filed under the name Mytilus galloprovincialis (Mediterranean mussel). The record is from RNAcentral. Lineage: Eukaryota; Metazoa; Mollusca; Bivalvia; Mytilida; Mytilidae.
CAUGGAGAUGGAAUGAUCUGAACCUGGAAUCCUAUGUCAGAACAGACUUGAAAGACUACAAUUUGGCACAAAAUAGAAUCUUAUAAAAGUGGUACUGUCUUCAUUUUCAUAUUUAAUUGCACGGGAGUGGAGAAAAUAUUUGUAGGGAUAGGCACUGUGGUUUUCUGUCAUAUUUAUUCAUUUUUAAUGAGGUAAAUUUUGUUUCACGUUCACUUCCAUAAUGAGUCUCAUAAACAUAGCUUUCGGGUAACAGUUGAAACCCGCAAGGUUUAAUUUACUUUUCUGCUAUAAAAAUGUUUAAGUUUGGUGUUAUUUACCUUUUCUUCUUCAGUAGAAAGGCUCGCACUUGCCAUUUCAUUGAAGCGGAAG